This is a long non-coding RNA of Myodes glareolus (Bank vole), 806 nucleotides long. RefSeq lists it as uncharacterized. The record is from RefSeq and is a predicted model, not a curated record. NCBI's taxonomy places the organism in Eukaryota, Metazoa, Chordata, Mammalia, Rodentia, Cricetidae.
UGCUUGCACAGCAGGGAACAAGGAUGGGCCAAGCUGGGACAGAAGAGCACUGGAUGUCUGUGUGAUUCUCAGAAUGCAGUGAGGUGAGGGCUCUGUGACCUCACAGGAUAAAUCUGCGCCCUAGCAACAGCAGUGGACGUGGCCUGAGCACAACUCAGAGUUCAGCGAGGAGGGCUGGGAGUCAAACCCAUGUGUCUGGAAAAGCUGACCAUAGACAAAGGCUAAUGGGAACGUACUUUUGGACACACCUGGACUCUACUUCAUCAAGCCUGAAGAUAAACAGAGGUGGUUCAAGUUCCUAUGAUGUCGUGAGUAUCCUGAACUGUCCAGGAGAGCCUAGAAUGGCCAUCCAGACUCUCAGAAAUGAAGACUCUACCCCUGCUGCAACGUACAUGAGAGUAUUGAGCAAGAGAGGGUGUUCACGAGGUACUAGGACUGGAGGACUCCUUCCGAGAUGAGAUGCUCAGGAUCCUGAGCAGAGACAAAAGAGGGCAGAGAUGAAACCACAGAUCUUCAAUGACCCAACCUUGAAAGCCAUAUACUUCUGCUGCUGACUGUCCUGUCCUUGGCAUUGUGCAUGAUACCAUCCAAGGACUUGGGGAUCACUGGAAGUCAUUCUGAAGCCUCACUGUUUUUCUUGUUUGGAGGAGAAGAAAUCAUGACUAAGUCCAUGAUGAGUCUGUAAUUUUGUUUCAACUCUCUGUAUUUUGUUUACUUUUCCCAGGGUGUCAUUAUCAAUCAAUGACUGCGAGAAACCAGUCACAGUCACAUUUACCCUCCUAGCCACUCCUCUCUGUUCAAAGGUU